Molecule: ribosomal RNA, 545 nt
Filed under: Suillus luteus
Lineage: Eukaryota; Fungi; Basidiomycota; Agaricomycetes; Boletales; Suillaceae
Description: large subunit ribosomal RNA
Source: RNAcentral
AUUGUGGGCCAACUAUCAAACUCCGGGGACAUCCUAAAGUUUAUGAUACCAAGCCAUAGUCGAAAGUCUAUGAGUGGCCAGAAUAAUUACCUGGGUAUGGUAACAAGUCAUAAGAUGAGUGAAAACGAAAUGGAUUAUCGCGGAUCUAAAUCAGAAUUUCAAAGCCCACAGCCAAAAGAAAUUUCUGUAAAAGAGCAACGAGUAGAUGGUAGUUAUUUUGGAUUUUACCCAAAAUUAAGGUGUACUCUAAUGGGCUUCGAAAGAAGUUAUCAACUCAAAAACCCUUCUAACCAAUUUUUUAAAAAAUACUUUUCUAUUUUAAAUACAAAACCUGAAACUUAAAUAAAUCCUUGGUUUUUAAACUGGUUUUGCAGAUGCUGAAAGUUGUUUUUUUAUUAAAAUACAAGCAAAUGCUAAAUUAAAAACUAAAGAAUAUCUAACGAUCCUUCUAAAUCAGUGUACGAUCAAAUAAUAGAAAUAAAAUCAGGUAUGAAUCUAAAUAGAAAAUAGUAGUGUUAAUUAUAUUUCUCACUCAUUUUAUUAAA